GAGAAGUUUGAAUAGCCUCUGUAGGUUUUAGAUGCAGCCCAGCAGAUGGUUGAGCAGAAUCCAGAUGGGAUAUUGAAAGUACUUUGCUUAUCAGUUUCUCUGUUAUCAUACCUUUGUUUGCAAUUUGUGGCUUUUCUUCCACAGCCAAGCCAGGGGAUGUGUAAGGUUAGGCUCACUUUUUACUCUGCCAUAUAUUUCUGGCCACAUUGAUGAUCAGGUAACUUAGAUACAGGUAAUGUUUGGUUGCACUGCAUAAUUCCAAACCUUCAAAUCUGAGUACCGAAAUGUACUUCUGAGGAGAAAGAUUCUUAACUUUCGAUUCAUUAUUAUGUGGUAUUUAUUUGUUUAAAUUAUAAAUUACACUUCUAUUCCCAUCUGGGGGGAGGAGUGUCACAAAAAUCCCAUAAUAUGGACACAGGAUGGUAUUAUCUGUACUUGACAAAUGAAGAGAUAGAGUCCAAGAGGUUUCAGUUAGUUUUUCAUGAUCACUUCUCUAAGUGCAGGAUGGGGAAAAAGUUCAGAUGUUUGAAAUUCUUUCCCUAAGCCAUUCUACUCACUCUCAAGGUAUUAUAAUCCUGGAGCAAGAGUAACUGAGUUUUUAGAAUAAUGAAGAAGUGUUUUGUUGUUGCUCUCUUUAAAUAGGUGAUAAAAUGUACCGAUUUUUUUCCUCUGGUUUUUUUAGUGUUUUUUUCUUUAACAAGGUCCAAUUGGCAAUUAGGAAAGUGACCUUGUCGCUAUAGGAACUUCAUUGCAAGGGACUUCAAAUACAGAUGGUAUGCCGUGAAAAUGAGUGCUUACUUUUAUUUUAUUUAAAAAAAACUCUGUGAUGAACAGUUUCCAGUGAUAGGUGAGUGACUAUGGAUUGUUAAAUUAAAUGCCAGUAGAGCUUGAGGAAGAAAACACAAACAUUAAGAAAAAAAAAAGUCGUUGGGGAUAAAUUAUUGCUGUAACUUUGGAUAUAUUCCAUAAGCUUUACUUACCGACUUUAUUUUUUUGUUUUUAUUUAUUUAUUUAUUUUUGCUGGCAGCUGCAGCUCUGAUUAGACCCCUAGCCUGAGAGCUUCCAUAUGCCAUAGGUGUGGCCCUAAAAAAUGAAACAAAAACAAAAAUUAUGGUAGAAGUAUAGGGUUAUAAACUGUAAACCAGAGAAGUAUAAAAAAGAAGUCUUGAUAUAUGAAAAAAUAGUAUAUAAGAAGAGCAGAUAAUUCAAAAACUGGGGUUGGAAUAACUGGCUAUACAUAAAGACAAAAAUACAAUUACUGUAUUGCUUCAUACUCACUUAAAAGUAAAUCCCAGGUCCAUUAAAUACUAAUUUUAAAAAAUGAAAAUCAUAUGAGAUUCCUUUUAUGAAUGAAGGGAAAUAAAUGUGUUCUUAAAUCAAAUGCGAAAAGCAUAUUGGAGAAAAAAGACUAAAAAUUCUAAGUUAAAAUUAAACUUAUUCAAGCAAAAAAAAUACACAAAAGAAUGAAAACAAGUCACAGAUUGGGCAUUUAUCUGGAUACACAACUAACCACAGAUUGGUAUUCAGAAUAUAUAGAAAAUUAUUAUAUAUAGAAUGUAUAGGAAAAGAUAACCCAAUAGAAAAAUGGAGAAAAUGUAGGAAUAGUUAGUUCACAUAUGAGAUAGUCCACGUGGCUGCAAAAAUGUGAAGCAACCAGAGCCUUCAAGAAUGUUGGUGGGUGAGUAAUUUAUUUAACUAAUUGGACAAUAAUUUCACAAUAUAUAGUACAGUAGUCUGACUCCUACAUGUUGAUAGUAGAAUGCACCAUUGUUUAUGAUAAUGGAAAACUGAAAACACUUUAAAUGAUACUCAAUAAGAAAACAUAAAUAAAUUGCAAUAUAUUAAAAUACUGUGAAAUGUCAAAAACCAAUAGGCUUUUGCUCUGAUAUCACCAGGGAUAAAGGUGCCUCCUAAAUACAUUUAAUGAAAGCAAAUAAAAUAAGAGGAAUUUCCUGAGGCAUACAUACAGUAUUCUAUCAUUUCUUUAUUGUUAAAACACAUGUAUGUAAGAUGUACUAUUGAUGUAUACAUGUGUUUGUAGUACCUUUUAAAAAAUGCCUGGGGGAGUUCCCAUUGUGGCUCAGUGGAAAUGAAUCUGACUAGAAACCAUAAGGUUGUGGGCUCGAUCCUUGGCCUUGCUCAGUGGGUUAAGGAUCCAGCAUUGUCGUGAGCUGUGGUAUAGGUCACAGGUGCAGCUGGGAUCUGACAUUGCUGUGGCUAUGGUGUAAGCUGGUAGCUGUAGCUCCGAUUUGACCCUUAGUCUGGGAACCUCCCUAUGCUGUGGGUAU
This 2288-nucleotide long non-coding RNA is filed under the name Sus scrofa (pig). Its description in RNAcentral is "lncRNA (ENSSSCG00025003637.1)". Lineage: Eukaryota; Metazoa; Chordata; Mammalia; Artiodactyla; Suidae. The record is from RNAcentral.